AUUGAACGCUGGCGGCAGGCCUAACACAUGCAAAUCGAGCGGAUGAAGGGAGCUUGCUCCUGGAUUCAGCGGCGGACGGGUGAGUAAUGCCUAGGAAUCUGCCUGGUAGUGGGGGAUAACGUCCGGAAACGGGCGCUAAUACCGCAUACGUCCUGAGGGAGAAAGUGGGGGAUCUUCGGACCUCACGCUAUCAGAUGAGCCUAGGUCGGAUUAGCUAGUUGGUGGGGUAAGGGCCUACCAAGGCGACGAUCCGUAACUGGUCUGAGAGGAUGAUCAGUCACACUGGAACUGAGACACGGUCCAGACUCCUACGGGAGGCAGCAGUGGGGAAUAUUGGACAAUGGGCGAAAGCCUGAUCCAGCCAUGCCGCGUGUGUGAAGAAGGUCUUCGGAUUGUAAAGCACUUUAAGUUGGGAGGAAGGGCAGUAAGUUAAUACCUUGCUGUUUUGACGUUACCAACAGAAUAAGCACCGGCUAACUUCGUG
RNAcentral lists this ribosomal RNA (484 nucleotides) under uncultured bacterium. Its description in RNAcentral is "partial 16S ribosomal RNA". It matches the Rfam family "Bacterial small subunit ribosomal RNA", at positions 30 to 507 of the family's 1533-position model. The record is from RNAcentral.